RNAcentral lists this ribosomal RNA (657 nucleotides) under Triticum aestivum (bread wheat). RNAcentral describes it as "partial small subunit ribosomal RNA". The record is from RNAcentral. Lineage: Eukaryota; Viridiplantae; Streptophyta; Magnoliopsida; Poales; Poaceae.
AUGACAGUGGUGGAGCUGCUGCAUCUAGCCGCGGCGCUACGACACCUCGGAUCGGCGGCGGCGUGGAAGGCUUUGGCGGGUUGGUCAUCUGCGGGCGUGGUUGGCCCUCUGGUCAGAUCUGAUCUGGCGAGAUUGGCUUCUCGCUCCGCGGCGGCGGAGAUCGGCGGUGGUCUGUGGGAGGUUGGUCGAGCAGAUCCGGAUGAAAACCUCAUUGUCGACUUGUUACCAAGACCGACGAUGGCGGCACUCUUUUGUGUCAUUACAUUCUUGAAGGCAUCGCCAUGGAGAAGCUCCAUACCUCUAUCCGCUACCUCCGGGGAAAACUCUAGAUCAGUAGAUCGGAUGACGGCGGCGCUCUGGUGUCGUUUCCCCCUUAGGGCGUCAUUCUUGGAGGUGUUGGAGGUGUACAUGGGCUCGAGGGACCAGUGGACGGCUUCUUCGGUAGAGCGGUGCUUCAUCUUAUUUAUUGAUGGCGGCCGAUCUCGACAGCGUGGCGCAGUGGAGACUCGGUGUCCGAUGCGCAAAGAUGGACUCGCACAGGAGGAGGAUGUCGUCUGGCGUCAUGGUGGCGUCGAUGACAGAGAGGCCUGGCAAGGUCGGUUUGUUAGUUUCUGCUCUGAAGAUGGACUGGUGGAAGACGGCGGCGACGACACAUGA